RNAcentral lists this small nucleolar RNA (129 nucleotides) under Peromyscus maniculatus bairdii (prairie deer mouse). Its description in RNAcentral is "Small nucleolar RNA SNORA61 (ENSPEMG00000024308.1)". It matches the Rfam family "Small nucleolar RNA SNORA61". Rfam says of the family: ACA61 is a member of the H/ACA class of snoRNA that guide the sites of modification of uridines to pseudouridines. The record is from Rfam by way of RNAcentral. Lineage: Eukaryota; Metazoa; Chordata; Mammalia; Rodentia; Cricetidae.
ACCCUCUGGUUCCUUUUCCCAUCAGAUCUUGAUGCUGUUCUUGGUGGUUGUAAAGGAGGAAGAGCACACUGAAACUGGCCUCAUAGCAAUGUAGUCUUGUAUAGAGCAUUGGGUCAGAUUCCUACAUGC